GUGAAUGAGAUAAUACAAGCUGCUAGACAGGUACUUUUGAAUUUACUAAUCUUCGAAUAAAAAUACAAGUUUCUUCAUUGGUUUAAGAGAACAUGGAAUCUAUAUACAAUGCUAGUUUUGUGUUUGAGUUACACAAUUUUUUGAAUUUAGCACGUGGUGGUUCGCACCAUUUAGCAAUACUCUUGAUUUAAUACUAAUCUUUAUCUGCAAUUUUCGAUUUUCUAUGAUAUAGGUUACUGCUGCUUCUAGUGUUCCUAACCCUUUGAAUUCCCCUAGUCCAACCAAUAAUGAAGAUAAUGAAAAUGGUAUUCAAUUAAAUAUCACUGAAGUUGUUAAUAUUUUCUUUGUUUUUUAGGAGUGAUAUUCUCAACGAUGAAUUGUGUUAUUAUUCAUCUUUUCUUUUUAUUUCUUGUAGGUGAAGAUGAGGAGGCUAAUAUGGAGACUUGAAGAUGGAAAUUUGAAAUUGGAAACUAGGCUAGACAUUGUUUUGGUUCUUUUCUUUAUUGACAUAGUUAUAAGGCUUUGUAUGCCUAAUAUGGUUCUGUUUUGUUUUGGCUAAUGCUCUAAAGUACUAUAGGAUUGACAUGAUUUAGCUUUUGUUAAUUUCUAUGUUUG
RNAcentral lists this long non-coding RNA (615 nucleotides) under Medicago truncatula (barrel medic). Its description in RNAcentral is "long non-coding RNA (MTRU_LNC004299)". Lineage: Eukaryota; Viridiplantae; Streptophyta; Magnoliopsida; Fabales; Fabaceae. The record is from RNAcentral.